GAACGCUAGCGACAGGCUAACACAUGCAAGUCGAGGGGCAGCACGGGAGUAGCAAUACAACUGGUGGCGACCGGCGCACGGGUGAGUAACGCGUAUGCAACCUACCUAUCAGAGGGGAAUAACCCGGCGAAAGUCGGACUAAUACCGCAUAAAACAGGGGCACCGCAUGGUGAUAUUUGUUAAAGAGAUUCGCUGAUAGAUGGGCAUGCGUUCCAUUAGGUAGUUGGUGAGGUAACGGCUCACCAAGCCGACGAUGGAUAGGGGAACUGAGAGGUUGGUCCCCCACACUGGUACUGAGACACGGACCAGACUCCUACGGGAGGCAGCAGUGAGGAAUAUUGGUCAAUGGGCGGGAGCCUGAACCAGCCAAGUCGCGUGAAGGAAGAAGGAUCUAUGGUUCGUAAACUUCUUUUGCAGGGGAAUAAAGUGCAGGACGUGUCCUGUUUUGUAUGUACCCUGAGAAUAAGGAUCGGCUAACUCCGUGCCAGCCGCAGC
Molecule: ribosomal RNA, 495 nt
Filed under: uncultured bacterium
Lineage: Bacteria
Description: bacterial SSU rRNA
Rfam family: Bacterial small subunit ribosomal RNA
Source: RNAcentral